This is an RNA transcript of Hermetia illucens (black soldier fly), 1363 nucleotides long. RefSeq lists it as uncharacterized. The transcript is spliced from 5 exons. NCBI's taxonomy places the organism in Eukaryota, Metazoa, Arthropoda, Insecta, Diptera, Stratiomyidae. The record is from RefSeq and is a predicted model, not a curated record.
GUCAAACGUCGGGAUUACGCCAAAGUGUGAGGGUCUAGUGUAAAUUUGGUAAAAAAAAUUAGUUUAUCAUCACUUACAAUAAAACUUUAAAUUUUCCGAUUUGUUUGAAGGUAGCUAAUGAAGCAGUUAAUUCAACCCUAACUUUCGAAAAGAAUGAAAUUCAUCCCUAAAUAACAUGGACUGGACUGAUCAAGACGAACGCAGCUCAAGCUCAUCCCCUGGAAGCUCUUCCGAUAACGGAAACAAAAAAUGUCCCCGAAAUCUAACCAAUAUAAUGGAUUAUUCCGAAAAUGAAGUAUCACGCUACGUCCACCUUAAAAGGGAAGGAUUCAGCAAUGGCCUAUAUUUCGAAUCAGAUGAAGAAUUUUCCGACUUUUCACUCAACGAUACUGACGAGGAUGAGCAACAGAGUUGCGCAACUGAGUCCGAUCCACUUUUACGGAGAGAAUUGGGUAGCUCCAGACAUGCAAUAGUUCCUGAUUUACCACGUAAUUGUGUAGUUCGAAGAGUUUUCACCAAUAAUAGAGAACGUUGGCGUCAACAGAAUGUCGCUGGAGCUUUUGCAGAAUUGCGAAAAUUAGUCCCAACACAUCCACCCGAUAAAAAACUAUCGAAAAAUGAGAUCUUACGAAUUGCAAUCAAAUAUAUUAAGCUCUUGACCAGCUUGUUGGAAUGGCAAAAGCAGCAAGAUAGCAACCAUAAUACAGAAACCGAACUGAACAAUAACAUGAUCAACCAUAAUAGGACACAAGAAAGAGAGCUGGCUCCAAUUAGGAAAGUCGAAAACUUGUCUUUGAAACAAACGGACUACACUAUUGGAGUUGUUCGUCAACGCAAUGGGUUGAAUGAAAAUAAUGGCUUCAAUGGUGCUGGUCCCAUCCACGUUGUUCGUAAACAAAGCCAUUCACCCAACACUGUUGAAACUCCUAGUUCCAAUCCAUUUACAGAGAAUCAAAAUCUCUCAGUUAAGGAUAAAAAUUCAAAUUCUGCUCCACAUUUAAGCUUAACUCCGAUCAGUUGGAAAUUAAGCAAACCAACAAAACGUAAAUGGAAAUAUCAAAAAUCAAACGAUAGCUGCAAACGAAGAAAGGACAGUGCUUUGUACUGCUUAUGUUAAUUUAGUUGGGACAUGUUAAGUCUCAAACAAGAUCCGGUGAAAGUCGAAUUAAAUAAGUAAAUUGUUAGCAGCACCUACAGGAGAUACUUUCUUAUCAGCUUAAGGGGGACGAGAAAUUGGUGAAGACUGCAGUCCAUAAAAAAAAUUCUUCUAAAAAUUGAGAGCAUAUUUUCCUUAAAAAAAGUAACUUGGUUCUUCUUUAGUAUGAAUAUUAUCACUCCUCCCCUCGGUGACAUUACAGCUUAU